Molecule: ribosomal RNA, 200 nt
Filed under: uncultured bacterium
Lineage: Bacteria
Description: partial 16S ribosomal RNA
Rfam family: Bacterial small subunit ribosomal RNA
Source: RNAcentral
GCAGGCUGCAACCCGCCUGCAUGAAGCCGGAAUCGCUAGUAAUCGCGGAUCAGAAUGCCGCGGUGAAUACGUUCCCGGGUCUUGUACACACCGCCCGUCACACCAUGGGAGCCGGGAAUGCCCGAAGUCAGUGGCCCAACCGAAAGGGGGAGCUGCCGAAGGCAGGCCUGGUGACUGGGGUGAAGUCGUAACAAGGUACC